Molecule: ribosomal RNA, 409 nt
Filed under: uncultured Methylomirabilota bacterium
Lineage: Bacteria; Methylomirabilota (SeqCode)
Description: bacterial SSU rRNA
Rfam family: Bacterial small subunit ribosomal RNA
Source: RNAcentral
GCGUGGAGACAGGUGGUGCAUGGCUGUCGUCAGCUCGUGUCGUGAGAUGUUGGGUUAAGUCCCGCAACGAGCGCAACCCUCACCCCUUGUUGCCAUCAGGUAAUGCUGGGCACUCUAGGGGAACUGCCCCGGUCAACGGGGAGGAAGGCGGGGAUGACGUCAAGUCAUCAUGCCCCUUACGCCCUGGGCUACACACGUGCUACAAUGGCCGGUACAAAGGGAUGCGAGACCGCGAGGUGGAGCCAAACCCAAAAAACCGGUCUAAGUUCAGAUUGGAGUCUGCAACUCGACUCCAUGAAGGAGGAAUCGCUAGUAAUCGCGUAUCAGAACGACGCGGUGAAUACGUUCCCGGGCCUUGUACACACCGCCCGUCACACCACGAAAGUCAGCUGUACUCGAAGUCGCUGAG